AAGACCUUGCGCUUUUGGAGCGGCCGAMGCCUGAUUAGCUUGUUGGUAAGGUAAAAGCUUACCAAGGCUUCGAUCAGUAGCUGGUCUGAGAGGACGACCAGCCACACUGGGACUGAGACACGGCCCAGACUCCUACGGGAGGCAGCAGUGGGGAAUUUUGGACAAUGGGGGCAACCCUGAUCCAGCCAUGCCGCGUGAGUGAAGAAGGCCUUCGGGUUGUAAAGCUCUUUCAGCCGGAACGAAACGGUUACGGUUAACACCCGUGACUACUGACGGUACCGGAAGAAGAAGCACCGGCUAACUACGUGCCAGCAGCCGCGGUAAUACGUAGGGUGCGAGCGUUAAUCGGAAUUACUGGGCGUAAAGCGUGCGCAGGUGGUUUUGUAAGUCAGAUGUGAAAGCCCCGGGCUCAACCUGGGAACU
RNAcentral lists this ribosomal RNA (423 nucleotides) under uncultured bacterium. RNAcentral's name for it is "bacterial SSU rRNA". It matches the Rfam family "Bacterial small subunit ribosomal RNA", at positions 207 to 622 of the family's 1533-position model. The record is from RNAcentral.